RNAcentral lists this transfer RNA (71 nucleotides) under Pseudopyrenochaeta lycopersici CRA-PAV_ER 1211. RNAcentral's name for it is "tRNA-His (GTG) (tRNA-His-GTG-1-1)". It matches the Rfam family "tRNA". Rfam says of the family: Transfer RNA (tRNA) molecules are approximately 80 nucleotides in length. Their secondary structure includes four short double-helical elements and three loops (D, anti-codon, and T loops). Lineage: Eukaryota; Fungi; Ascomycota; Dothideomycetes; Pleosporales; Pseudopyrenochaetaceae. The record is from RNAcentral.
GGUGGUAUGGUCUAGUGGUAUGACAACACGUUGUGGCCGUGUCAGCCUGGGUUCGAUUCCCAGUACCGCCA